GACAGAGGGUGCAAACGUUGUUCGGAAUUACUGGGCGUAAAGCGCGUGUAGGCGGUUUGGUAAGUCGGAUGUGAAAGCCCUCGGCUCAACUGAGGAAGUGCAUCCGAAACUGAGUGGCUAGAGUAUGGAAGAAGGUCGCGGAAUUCCCGGUGUAGAGGUGAAAUUCGUAGAUAUCGGGAGGAACACCGGUGGCGAAGGCGGCGACCUGGGCCAAUACUGACACUGAGGUGCGAAAGCGUGGGGAGCAAACAGG
This 253-nucleotide ribosomal RNA is filed under the name uncultured bacterium. RNAcentral describes it as "partial 16S ribosomal RNA". It matches the Rfam family "Bacterial small subunit ribosomal RNA", at positions 524 to 776 of the family's 1533-position model. The record is from RNAcentral.